GAAUUUUUAAUCUGGUAUUGAUAUUUAGGUAUGUGUUUAACUGCUGUCUGAAAAUGUGUUGCUAGCAGACAAUUUUGUUGCCUUGGUUUGAAUAGGCACUGUAGAAGCUUCACUGGGAGGAAGAUGAUCCUCUGACAACAACUUUUGGUUGGGAGCCCAUUCAGUUGCACUGCAUAAAAGUUACGUCGGGGUUAGAGUCCGUUCCUGCUUAAGGGAGGGAAAGAUAGCCACUUAUUGUGGUGGGAGCACCCUUCUGUAUUUAUAAGGUAAUUUUUUUUUAAUAACAAACAUAGAAAUGAAGGAGUCUUGGGUUGCAUCCAACAUGUUUCUUUAGACAUUUUAAAUGAUGCAAUUACAGGUUGCAUACAACCUCAAACCAUCCUAGCUUGGAUACAAAAAGGAUGUGCCACCAAAGAGUUCAAAGCAUCCUCCAUAAACAAGUCAGGUAAAGUGCUCAGCAUCUAUACUAAUCCUGAAAUUAAGAUGUAAUUUAAAAGCUGAUCCACUUUUAAACCAGAGAUUUCUGUUUUAAGUAUGCUGCAUUCAUAACUGCCUGUUGCAA
This 562-nucleotide long non-coding RNA is filed under the name Anser brachyrhynchus (Pink-footed goose). RNAcentral's name for it is "lncRNA (ENSABRG00000016455.1)". Lineage: Eukaryota; Metazoa; Chordata; Aves; Anseriformes; Anatidae. The record is from RNAcentral.